AUGCUUCAGAAGUACAUAUACUAAAACUGGAAUGACACAAAGAUUAGCAUGACCCCUGAGCAAGAAUGACGGCAAAUUCAUGAAGCAUUCCAUUUAUCU
RNAcentral lists this small nuclear RNA (99 nucleotides) under Microtus ochrogaster (prairie vole). Lineage: Eukaryota; Metazoa; Chordata; Mammalia; Rodentia; Cricetidae. The record is from RNAcentral.